Molecule: long non-coding RNA, 1457 nt
Filed under: Cyanistes caeruleus (blue tit)
Lineage: Eukaryota; Metazoa; Chordata; Aves; Passeriformes; Paridae
Description: lncRNA (ENSCCEG00000005024.1)
Source: RNAcentral
GCCCAGCUCUGCAGAGGUGCUGCCUCUAUUGUGGAGGCUGAUCCCGAAGGUAAUAGCAUUUCUUUUCUAUAGAGCCAUGAAGUCAAUGUUUCACAGAGCCCCGGGGACCUGUUCUGCCCUCCCUGCCACCAGCACAUUCCGGUCCCACGCUGGAAUCCAAGGGAAGGAGCUCAUCUCCGUCAGAUCUGGUGGAGUCUGCACCCAGAGAAGGGAGGGGGGGAGCCAGCUAAUUAGUGGAUCAGAGUUUUAAUAAGUUUUGUAAAAGGAUUAGACACAUCUGUGCAUGUGAACAGAAUGUGCAGAGACAGUCUCUAGGCUGGAUUAUCGUGGCUGCCAAUCCCUGUGCUCUGGGGUAAAAGCUGAUCCUUGGCAAGGGUCAGGGAUAAAUGUCCCUGCCUGGCAGAGCAUGUCCAUGAGGAGGAUUCAAAUUCCUCCUGGGAAGCCGUGGCAGAGCUACAAUCCCAGAGGAGCUGCCGGGCAUCACCUCGUUAUCACUUUGUGGUGACAGUGAUAACUCACAGCCAAAACACAAACCACCUCCCAAGGGACGAUCUGCAGCCAUUCCCCAGCAGGUAUCCCAGCUGCAGCCUCGGGAUCUGACACGGGGAUUUGCCUGGAGUAGGGACAGAAUGCUAGCAGGGAGUUUAUUUCCAUUAACAAUUGUAAUUGGGGUGAGGCAAAGGGCAUGAGGGGAGUUCCUGAGGAUAAUCUAUGUGAUUGUAUUGGCAAUUUGGUGACAAACACAAUCAAAUCCUUGGGCACAUCAAGGCAGCAGAGCCUUUUCUCCUGCUUUCUACUCAGCAGCCUCUUCUUUCCCUGCAGGAUUGACCUCCCUCCAUCCCACAAACCUGCCCCUCCACCAAAGAGGAAACAGGACAUGAAAAGCCACCUGACUCCAGAAGACAUCCAGGUUGUUCACUUGGACAACAUGAAACACGAGGAGGAGAUCCAGAAGUUCCCUCUGCAGACUCCCUACUACGACAUGGCAGGCCCUGAGCCCUCUCCCUACAGUGACAAACUGGUAAGGGGCACAGGGUGACAGUGGCACUGCCUGGCACCUCAGCCCAGCCUCACCUGGCACACAGGACCUAAAAAAGCAAGUUUUUUAGUCUUUAUAGUCUGGGAUUAUCCCAUCCUGGAGGAAAGCAGCCUCCACACUCUGAUCUCACCCUAAUUCAGCUGUCUGUUGGCUCCAGAGCUGGGCCUUUAUGGGUAGAAUGCCCUGCCCACCCCAAAUUCUCUACCUGCCGUGCACCUACCCCACCCUGGCCUCUCCUCACCUCCUCCCUGUUGAGCGGAGGGAAGCAGCGGUGAGAGCUUCACAAAGCAAUUAUCUGCAGGGCAGAGCGUGCCAGCGUUUGACUCUCAGUUGACAACAGCAAGUUCUUUAAACCCUUUUUUUUUUGGUUUUUUUUUUUUUUCUGGUGUGUGGAUUUGUGCAGCCUCAGAUGGGGAGA